This 23-nucleotide non-coding RNA is filed under the name Cricetulus griseus (Chinese hamster). Lineage: Eukaryota; Metazoa; Chordata; Mammalia; Rodentia; Cricetidae. The record is from RNAcentral.
GUGAAUGAGGGAACGGAACUGAG